This 88-nucleotide transfer RNA is filed under the name Parcubacteria group bacterium CG08_land_8_20_14_0_20_38_56. RNAcentral describes it as "tRNA-Ser". It matches the Rfam family "tRNA". From Rfam's summary of the family: Transfer RNA (tRNA) molecules are approximately 80 nucleotides in length. Their secondary structure includes four short double-helical elements and three loops (D, anti-codon, and T loops). The record is from RNAcentral. RNAcentral also lists the same sequence under 1 other name.
GGAGAGGUGUGCUGAAUGGCAAGGCACUGGUUUGGAGAACCAGCGGGAAGAAAUUCCCUUGCAGGUUCGAGUCCUGUCCUCUCCGCCA